UUAAUUUACCUAGUUUUUACUUUUUUAGUUCAUAAUGUUAUGUUCAUUAUCAACCCCAGGCAGGUUUGCUGAGCCAAAUAUAGCUCUUAUCAGCAUACACAGCAUGACCGUGCAAUUUGAAAAUGUGUUUCAGAUGUCUCCCAAAGCGUAGAGUACAUUAUCACACAUGUGAAGUAUAACUGAAUGUGUCAAAAUGCUGAUGAUGAUAGACAUGUCCCCAAACCACUAGUGCCAACAUCACCAUUGAGAAGAGAGAGCGGCGGUUGGAUUUCAUUGUGACCUCAGCUAACUCUUAUACCCUUCUUUCCAUCCUGGUUAUCAAAUCCGCUCAGCGCCAUGAGUUCUGCAAGACGGAAAUAAAUAAAGAUGUGUUUACAAAGGAUGCGUCUUUGCAAUAUCUAAGAGAGGGAAAUGGACAUACUUUGAGAGGAUGUAUUGGAGAACAGCACUUGUGAUCUUGGCCUUUCUUACUCAUGCCAUUACAGAAAUGCGAGUGACUGGUCAAACAUUGGAUGUGUGUGCCACCUGUCACCCUAACGCCACCUGUGAGGAGAAGGUGGAUGGUACCGGCAAAGCCUGUAACUGCAUGUAUGGCUUUGUUGGUAAUGGAAGAACUUACUGUCAAGACAAAAAUGAAUGUCAGAUAGGAGCCAAUAAGAUCUGUGGGCAGCAUACUGCCUGCCAUAACACCUAUGGAAGCUUCUACUGCACCUGCCUGGCAGGAUACAGCCCUUCCAACAACAUGGCCAUCUUCAUCCCCAAUGAUGGAACCCGCUGUCAGGACAUUAAUGAGUGUAGAGUCCAAGGGAUCUGUGGUGAGGGGGGUAAGUGCACAAACAUGCAGGGGUAUUUUAACUGCCUCUGCCAAGUGGGAUACCAGGUUCACAAUGGAGCAGAGCCAUUCCACCCACACCAGGACAAGGCCUUGUGCAAAGGUAAAUAACACCAACCACUUGGGCUCAGUAUUGUAAGACUUUUCAGUUAAAUUAUAGGUACAAUUCUAAGAUAAUGGAUAAUAAUCAGAGAGCUGUAUGCUUCAAAAAUGCAUGUUUCAGAAUCUCUUUGCCUGCUGCCUUAUACUAUACUGUAGCCACUGCAAUAAUUUCAUGAUUUAUAGAAAAUUUGCAGAAUGACAGUAGUGUUAUCAAAAACGAUGGUAUCUGUAGUGUUGUCCUUUUCUCCAUCUGUAGCCAUUGAUUGUGGGCAGCCUCCCUCGGCUCUGAAUGCAGUCCAGCUGUCAGCCACAGGAACACAUUACGGCAGCGUCGCUAAAUUUGGCUGCUCUGAGGGAUUCUUCUGGAAAAGCGGGGAGAACUCCUCCGUUUGUGGGGCAGAAAGUGUGUGGAAGGGCCCAAGUCUUGUUUGUGAAGGUAAAAUUAAUGACAUUUUCCCUCCUAGCAUUGUUUCAUUUAGAUUUUUGCAUUCAUUCAUGUAUUUAACAUGUGGAUGGAUGAGUAUUUUGUUUGUAGAGAAAAAUGUUAUCAUGUACUGCGUCUAGGAAUAGUCACUGGUCAAUGUCAUUGCUUUGCCUAUCAGAGGUUGACUGUGGCUUGCCCCCUGCCCUCCCUCACUCAGUAAUGUUGUGGGAUCAGAGCACCAGGAUAGGCUCUGAGGUGGUUUAUCAGUGUAACUCUGGAUAUUACAAUGUGGGAGAGGGAAAUGUAUCAAUAUGCACUGCCAAUGGACAGUGGGACAAGUCAGCUUUGCUAUGUGCAGGUAAAAUAAAUCUUCUCUCUCAACAUUACCAUCUGGAAUCACUACCUUACAUCCAUAACUAACUCAGAACUGAAUUAACCAAGUGUUUUAACAAAUACCUCCUAGGCCAUGUUGACCAUUCCAUUAAUUAUAUUGUGUGUCCAAAAUAUCAGACAUGAAUGUUUGCCUGAUGGAAAUUGCACACUGUUGUAAUGCUUUCUCUUUGUAGAGAUAACGUGUGGUGAUCCCCCUAUACUGCCCCACACUGGGCAGGUGUGGAAUGGCAGCACAAACCCUGGCAGCACUGUGCUGUUUUACUGUAAAGGAGGGUUUUAUAGAGAGGGAGGGGGGAAUAUUUCCCAAUGCACUAGAGAUGGUUACUGGACAAAGGCAACGUUGUCAUGUAAAGGUAACAGUUUUGCCACGUAAUACUUUCUCACAUAUUCUCUUGUGAAACCUCUUUUGAGAUUUUCUGUAAUCUAUAUGUCAUGUAGGAAUCAUAUCAGAGAGGCCAAAUCUACUACCUAUACAAAUAUCCUGGUGAAUAAUCUGUUAUCUCAACCAUUCUCUCAUUCUCUGUGUAGAGGUUGACUGUAGUUCUCCCCCUGCCCUCCCUCACUCAGUAAUGUUGUGGGAUCAGAGCACCAGGAUAGGCUCUGAGGUGGUUUAUCAGUGUAACUCUGGAUAUUACAAUGUGGGAGAGGGAAAUGUAUCAGUAUGCACUGCCAAUGGACAGUGGGACCAGACAUCUUUUAUAUGUGAAGGUAAAAUAAAUCUUCCCUCACAACAUUACCACCUGCAAUCAAUACCUUACAAGUUAUCCAUAACUAACCCAUAACUCAAUUACCCAAGUGCUUUAACAAAUACCUCAGAGGUCAUGUUGAUCAUACCAUGGAACAAUAUUGUGUGUGCAAAAUGUAAGAUAUUAAUGUCUGCUUGAUGGAAAUGUGCAGAAAUUGCACACUGUUGUAAUGCUUUCUCUUUGUAGAGAUAACGUGUGGUGAUCCCCCUAUACUGCCACACACUGGACAGGUGUGGAAUGGCAGCACAAACCCUGGCAGCACUGUGCUGUUAUACUGUAAAGAGGGAUUUCAUAGAGAGGGAGGAGGUAAUAUUUCCUACUGUACAGAAAAUGGUUUCUGGACAAAAACAACAUUAUCAUGCAAAGGUAACUGAACAUUUCUUACGUACACUGACAGAGAUGAAAUGAUGAGAAAUACAUGUUUUUUAGCCCCCUGAUACAGUAGUAGAAACAAAGCAUUAUUGAUACAUAGCUACAUGUCUUCAUAAGAUAAGACCUGUGGUUGAAAUGAAAGUGUUGAAAGUCAAAUCUAAAUGUUCCUUAUGCUUUACAUCCAGGAUACACAUAAUCAUUUCCAUACUGCUUUCCCCCUUAGAAAUAAUGUGUGGCGGUCCCCCUAUACUGCCCCACACUGGACAGGUGUGGAAUGGCAGCACAAACCCUGGCAGCACUGUUCUGUUUUACUGUAAAGAGGGAUUUCAUAGAGAGCGAGGGGGGGAUAUUUCCCAAUGCACUAAAGACGGUAACUGGACAAAGGCAACAUUGUCAUGUAAAGGUAAUGCAUAUGACUUUUCCACAUGUUCUCUAGUUCAACCUCCUUUGAGAUUUUGUGUAAUGUAUGUAUGAAUCAUAUCAGUGAGGCCAAAUCUCCUUCCUAUACAAAUAUCCUGGUGAACAAUCUGUUAUCUCAACCAUUCUCUCAUUCUCUCUAGAGGUUGACUGUGGUUCUCCCCCUGCCCUCCCUCCCUCCGUAAUGUUGUGAGAUCAGAGCACCUGGAUAAUUAAAUGAUUUAUAGAAAAUUUGCAGAAUGACAGUAGUGUUAUCAAAAACGAUGGUAUCUGUAGUGUUGUCCUUUUCUCCAUCUGUAGCCAUUGAUUGUGGGCAGUCUCCCUCGGCUCUGAAUGCAGUCCAGCUGUCAGCCACUGGAACACAUUACGGCAGCGUCGCUAAAUUUGGCUGCUCUGAGGGAUUCUUCUGGAAAAGCGGGGAGAACUCCUCCAUUUGUGGGGCAGAAAGUGUGUGGAAGGGCCCAAGUCUUGUUUGUGAAGCUACAUGUGGACCGGCCCCUGCUCUGGCCAACACAGAGGUGGUGCUGCAGAACACAAGUGUUGUGUUCCAUCGUUGUCUGGAAGGAUUCCACAGCUGGAGAGGAAGAAACACCUCUGUUUGUGACAUCACUGGGAAGUGGCAAGCUGCCACAAUGCGAUGCAGAGAAAUCAAGCCUGCCAUCAGCGACUUGGUUGUCUUUAAUGAAAAAUGUUUGCGUUGGAAAGCAGACAAGUAUGAAGAAGACACAGAGAAUUACAGAGUAGUAUUUGUGGGAUUCAGGGCCUAUCAAAGGUCAUUCCAUGACAAGAGGAAGAAGCUCCUCAGCUCCACUUCAGACCACCCUGAGAUCUGCCUGAACCUGCUGCCUGUUACCAACUACACCAUCAGCAUCACUGCACUGUCUGCCAGGUUCACCUCCACACUCACAACAAACACCAGCCUACAAGUGCCUCAAGCCCCAGAGAUUUUAUACAGAGAAAUUGAGGCUCCAUUGCCCACUUUGUGGCUACGCAGAUCAGCUAACACUCUGGACCCAAUUAGACUUCUCCAGUCAGAGGAAGCCCCAUGGACAGUACAUCACUGCCCAGCUCCAUCUGAGGGAUAUAGGGAAAGAGAUUAACCUGACUUUGGGCGAUGGACACUACUAUGGAGGGUUCUACAAUGCUCCUUUACAGAACGGCAGAGACUAUUACAUCAUAUUACGAGCUGUCAGUCAAUGGGGAGGGGCAUUCAAGCACUCUUGUGUUAUUUGGGCAAAAGUGAGAGAUAUAUCCUACAUAAUGAAGGUUUCAUCGCUUUUUGCUGGGGGAUCAAUUGGAGUCUUUGCUUUGGCCAUUUUUCUGGGACACUGUUACACCUGGUUUUGUAAGAAGACAUGACAGUCAUCCUGAGGACUGACUUUUUAAGUUGGGUCACACUUGGUUUAUAUUAGCAUAAUGUUCAACGACAUUUACCUGUAAUAUUGUAACUGUGUAAAAAUGUGUUUUGUAUUGUAGUUCUCUGUACUAAAAUAAAGGUAAAAAAUGUUUUGUCA
Molecule: RNA transcript, 4800 nt
Organism: Oncorhynchus kisutch (coho salmon)
Lineage: Eukaryota; Metazoa; Chordata; Actinopteri; Salmoniformes; Salmonidae
Gene: susd1
Gene name: sushi domain containing 1
Exons: 12
Source: RefSeq, a predicted model, not a curated record